GCGAAAGUAGCUCAGUGGUAGAGCAUCACCUUGCCAAGGUGGAGGUCGCGGGUUCAAAUCCCGUCUUUCGCU
RNAcentral lists this transfer RNA (72 nucleotides) under Psychroflexus sp. Its description in RNAcentral is "tRNA-Gly". It matches the Rfam family "tRNA". Rfam says of the family: Transfer RNA (tRNA) molecules are approximately 80 nucleotides in length. Their secondary structure includes four short double-helical elements and three loops (D, anti-codon, and T loops). The record is from RNAcentral. Lineage: Bacteria; Pseudomonadati; Bacteroidota; Flavobacteriia; Flavobacteriales; Flavobacteriaceae.